RNAcentral lists this ribosomal RNA (541 nucleotides) under uncultured bacterium. RNAcentral's name for it is "bacterial SSU rRNA". It matches the Rfam family "Bacterial small subunit ribosomal RNA", at positions 355 to 885 of the family's 1533-position model. The record is from RNAcentral.
UGGGGAAUAUUGCGCAAUGGAGGCAACUCUGACGCAGCCAUGCCGCGUGUGUGAAGAAGGCCCUCGGGUUGUAAAGCACUUUCAAUUGGGAGAAAAAGCUUGUCGUUAAUAGCGGCAAGCCUUGAUGUUACCUUUAGAAGAAGCACCGGCUAACUCCGUGCCAGCAGCCGCGGUAAUACGGAGGGUGCGAGCGUUAAUCGGAAUUACUGGGCGUAAAGCGCGCGUAGGCGGUUGCUUAAGUCGGAUGUGAAAGCCCCGGGCUCAACCUGGGAACUGCAUUCGAUACUGGGCGACUAGAGUACGAGAGAGGGAGGUAGAAUUCCACGUGUAGCGGUGAAAUGCGUAGAUAUGUGGAGGAAUACCGGUGGCGAAGGCGGCCUCCUGGCUCGAUACUGACGCUGAGGUGCGAAAAGCGUGGGGAGCAAAAGCAGGAUUAGAUACCCUGGUAGUCCACGCCGUAAACGAUGUCUACUAGCCGUUGGGGUUACUUGAGACCUUAGUGGCGCAGCUAACGCACUAAGUAGACCGCCUGGGAGUACGG